RNAcentral lists this ribosomal RNA (548 nucleotides) under Streptosporangium sp. 303E09. RNAcentral's name for it is "bacterial SSU rRNA". It matches the Rfam family "Bacterial small subunit ribosomal RNA", at positions 93 to 657 of the family's 1533-position model. The record is from RNAcentral. Lineage: Bacteria; Bacillati; Actinomycetota; Actinomycetes; Streptosporangiales; Streptosporangiaceae.
GAGCGGCGAACGGGUGAGUAACACGUGAGUAACCUGCCCCUGACUCUGGGAUAAGCCCGGGAAACUGGGUCUAAUACCGGAUACGACACCUCCUGGCAUCGGGUGGGUGUGGAAAGUUUUUUCGGUUGGGGAUGGACUCGCGGCCUAUCAGCUUGUUGGUGGGGUAAUGGCCUACCAAGGCGACGACGGGUAGCCGGCCUGAGAGGGCGACCGGCCACACUGGGACUGAGACACGGCCCAGACUCCUACGGGAGGCAGCAGUGGGGAAUAUUGCGCAAUGGGCGAAAGCCUGACGCAGCGACGCCGCGUGGGGGAUGACGGCCUUCGGGUUGUAAACCUCUUUCAGCAGGGACGAAGUUGACGUGUACCUGCAGAAGAAGCGCCGGCUAACUACGUGCCAGCAGCCCGCGGUAAUACGUAGGGCGCAAGCGUUGUCCGGAAUUAUUGGGCGUAAAGAGCUCGUAGGUGGCUUGUCACGUCGGGUGUGAAAGCUUGGGGCUUAACUCCAGGUCUGCAUUCGAUACGGGCUGGCUAGAGGUAGGUAGGGG